UUGGGCAGCACAUAUACUAAAAUUAGAGAGAUUAGAGAUUAGAUUACAGAAGAUUAGCAUGGCCUUUGGGCAAGGAUGACAUGCAAAUUCAUGAAGCUGUCCAUAUUGUU
This is a small nuclear RNA of Diceros bicornis minor, 110 nucleotides long. The record is from RefSeq and is a predicted model, not a curated record. NCBI's taxonomy places the organism in Eukaryota, Metazoa, Chordata, Mammalia, Perissodactyla, Rhinocerotidae.